UACGGAGGGUGCAAGCGUUGUCCGGAUUUAUUGGGUUUAAAGGGUGCGUAGGCGGCCCAUUAAGUCAGUGGUGAAAGCCCGGGGCUCAACCCCGGAACCGCCAUUGAUACUGGUGGGCUUGAGUAUGGACGAGGUUGGCGGAAUUGAGGGUGUAGCGGUGAAAUGCUUAGAUACCCUCAAGAACACCGAUUGCGUAGGCAGCUAACUAGGCCAUAACUGACGCUGAGGCACGAAAGCGUGGGGAGCAAACAGG
This 253-nucleotide ribosomal RNA is filed under the name uncultured bacterium. RNAcentral describes it as "partial 16S ribosomal RNA". It matches the Rfam family "Bacterial small subunit ribosomal RNA", at positions 524 to 776 of the family's 1533-position model. The record is from RNAcentral.